AUACUACUCGCCGUCUAAGUCUAUUCACAAUUCCAUUGAAAUUCACAGUUAAAAUGGCGACCUGGAACAAGAUUUUCUUCGUUUGCGUGUUGGUACCCGCCUUACUGAUGGCGAUCGUCCUACCAGCAGUUACAGCGGAAGAUUCAGCUGAACACUCAAUUUUGGUGAAGAGGCGUGUUAAUCUUGGAAAAGUUGUGAAAGUAGUCAAACCAAUAGCAAAAGCACUACUUACUACUCUACUGUAAAACCGAUCCGGAAGCGGAAUCUGUAUUAUAUUAAAAUUACCUUUGUCAAGUUCCUUCAUUAAAUUUUACGAGCAUAAAAAAAACAAA
Molecule: long non-coding RNA, 332 nt
Organism: Bactrocera neohumeralis
Lineage: Eukaryota; Metazoa; Arthropoda; Insecta; Diptera; Tephritidae
Exons: 2
Source: RefSeq, a predicted model, not a curated record